This 446-nucleotide ribosomal RNA is filed under the name uncultured bacterium. RNAcentral's name for it is "partial 16S ribosomal RNA". It matches the Rfam family "Bacterial small subunit ribosomal RNA", at positions 338 to 795 of the family's 1533-position model. The record is from RNAcentral.
CCUACGGGUGGCAGCAGUCGAGAAUCAUUCACAAUGGGGGAAACCCUGAUGGUGCGACGCCGCGUGGGGGAAUGAAGGUCUUCGGAUUGUAAACCCCUGUCAUGUGGGAGCAAAUUAAAAAGAUAGUACCACAAGAGGAAGAGACGGCUAACUCUGUGCCAGCAGCCGCGGUAAUACAGAGGUCUCAAGCGUUGUUCGGAAUCACUGGGCGGAAAGCGUGCGUAGGCUGUUUCGUAAGUCGUGUGUGAAAGGCGCGGGCUCAACCCGCGGACGGCACAUGAUACUGCGAGACUAGAGUAAUGGAGGGGGAAACGGAAUUCUGGGUGUAGCAGUGAAAGGCGUAGAUAGCGAGAGGAACACGCGUGGCGAAGGCGGGUUCCUGGACAUUAACUGACGCUGAGGCACGAAGGCCAGGGGAGCGAAAGGGAUUAGAUACCCUUGGAGUC